AUUGAACGCUGGCGGCAGGCCUAACACAUGCAAGUCGGACGGUAGCACAGAGGAGCUUGCUCCUCGGGUGACGAGUGGCGGACGGGUGAGUAAUGUCUGGGAAACUGCCCGAUGGAGGGGGAUAACUACUGGAAACGGUAGCUAAUACCGCAUAACGUCGCAAGACCAAAGUGGGGGACCUUCGGGCCUCACACCAUCGGAUGUGCCCAGAUGGGAUUAGCUAGUAGGUGGGGUAAUGGCUCACCUAGGCGACGAUCCCUAGCUGGUCUGAGAGGAUGACCAGCCACACUGGAACUGAGACACGGUCCAGACUCCUACGGGAGGCAGCAGUGGGGAAUAUUGCACAAUGGGCGCAAGCCUGAUGCAGCCAUGCCGCGUGUGUGAAGAAGGCCUUCGGGUUGUAAAGUACUUUCAGCGGGGAGGAAGGCGGUGAAGUUAAUAACUUCACCGAUUGACGUUACCCGCAGAAGAAGCACCGGCUAACUCCGUGCCAGCCGCCGCAGUAA
Molecule: ribosomal RNA, 506 nt
Filed under: uncultured bacterium
Lineage: Bacteria
Description: partial 16S ribosomal RNA
Rfam family: Bacterial small subunit ribosomal RNA
Source: RNAcentral